This is a long non-coding RNA of Felis catus (domestic cat), 2273 nucleotides long. RefSeq lists it as uncharacterized. The transcript is spliced from 2 exons. Lineage: Eukaryota; Metazoa; Chordata; Mammalia; Carnivora; Felidae. The record is from RefSeq and is a predicted model, not a curated record.
GGUUGCCUUUGAAUGUCACAGUUAUUGAGCAAAUUUGAAAAUAAGUGGGUUUGUAGGAGUCAGAGUGAGAAGUUAACGGACUGUAGGAGGCGUGAGUCAUAGCUGCUCGGAGCUUCAGAAACAGCUCAGCUCGGCCAGCUGUGGGCACUUGCCUCACCGUUUUAGUAAGCGCAUCUAUCCGCACUCCCCCGAGUGGGGUGGGACAGGAAUGACUUGGGAGGUCCUGAAUAGGAAAGUCCACACUUAAAAACUGUACCUUAGUAUCUCAGUUUCGCUCAAGGAUGGUCUUUAAGGACUGGUCAUCAGUCUGAGCUCACAGGAGUGACGGGAAGAAGGGACUACGAAGGUGAUGGAACGCACAGGCUGGAAUGCACAGAGGCUCACUUUUUUUGGUCGAGGCCCCCUGCAGGCUCUGCUGAUGGCCGCAUAUUCAAAACUGGGACAUCUUUGAUGCUUCCUCCUUCUCGAUUCCGACCAACAAGAAUUUCACAUGUAUGUUUGUGCACCGCACCCUCAAAUGUGUUAGGAGGAAAAAGUCUGUAAUGAAAAGAAGCUGAAAAGAGAGGCACCGCAACGUGGUUGGGUUCCAUCUGUACCAUAGUGAUCACACGAGAAAGCAGCUCAGAGGCGUCAGAGGGGCAGAGAGAAGAAAAGGCAAGCGGUUCCAGGUUGGAUCAACCGUUCAGCGUAACAAAGCAACCUUGUGAAGAAGACAGGCGACAAAAGUGACUGUCACCAUUUUGCAGGUGAGGAAACUGAGGCUCCAAGAAGUCUCAUGGCCAAGAACCGGCAACGGAGCUCUGCAGCAAAAGCAAGGAUUUCGUCUCUGCUGUUCUCCACAAGGAAUUGAGGCCACUUGUCAGCAUAGCUAAUAGUUGUGCGUGAGUGCCAUGGAUAAAUAUGGAGGAGAAAAGUGGCCAAAAGAAUAAAAAAGAAGAAGAAGAAGAAGAAAGGAAAGUGGACUAAGGGAGGGGGGUGAGAAGAAGUGGGGAGAUGAUGCUAAAGUGUUUCAGUGCAGCAAAAUCGGCCCCAUGUACCAUAGGGCUGAAAAUAUCACACGAGAAACUAUAACGUGUGUUAACCUUCGUGAUUUCCCAAAAUACGGUCGAUGAGAAUUCUCUGGGUGGCACCCAAACAGGGUGCUAGGCAUUGCUCUUAGCAGAUCCUGCAGCCGGUACAUGGGGGUGACAACAAUAAGACGCAACUUGGGGAUUAAAGUUAACCGCUGGGACUAGGCGAGGAAGUAUCAAAAGAUAGGGGGUGAAGUCAGACUAGUGUUUGCUCCAUCUGGGGAAGGACGAGUGUCAAUAGGAGAGAGCCGGCUGAAAGACACCCUCUCAAGCAAGGAGCUAGACAGGGGAAUCUGGCAGUGGGAUGAGGGGAGAGAGGGAGUGGCAGUCACAGAUCCCCUAUUGUGGGCAGGAUGCUUUAGGUUGCACUCAGUCUGGGUGCUCUGAUUUCACGCUCACUGGGUAGCCCCGAAGGACCUGGAUGAUUGGAAGGGGCUGCUGAAGGGGGAGUAAAUAGUCUUUGGGAAGACCUAUUCCUCCUUAUAAAGUAAUAAGUUGGUGCUCUGGUUUAUAUUUCGGGCCGUGGGGGAUAGCUGGUGUGAGUCUGUCCUCCCAUGAUGCAAACACCUCUGGGGGUUCUGAAUCAGCAAAGCAGAACUCUGAUCUUUAAAUGUGAUGAGCGUGCCAAGGCCCUUUGCCCAUUUUGCCCAUCCCGCCUGGUGGCCAGCCAGUCUUCUUGGACCGCAGCCCUGCUGAUUCCUCUUAGUGACAGGGGGCAUGGUGUUCUUUUCUUUCGUUCGAAAGUGAUUUACUUGUGGUAUGUAGGGCAGUAGUCUGAUUCAAGGGCAAUAGCAGCCGCAUACGGGCAUUGGAGAGAAUGGCGGUUCUAGUCUCAGUGUUAGCACUAGCCAUAGCUUUGAUAUUUCGAGCUGUUUAACCCCAGUCCAGGUUUCCUCACUGAUGCAGCGAAGGGAUUUCAUUAGAUGAUAUUUGUAAUUUGCCCAAGGUCACUUAGCCGGUCAGUGACCAGUGGGCCUUUACUCUAUUACCCUUCCCCUGGACCUUAGUCUGCUCCUCCCCACGUGAAUUUGGGACUAAAGCCCAGGCUGGAGGGAGGGUUCCAAGUGGACAGUAAAGUAGUUUGAAUUUACUUCUCCUUAACUGGGAGGAUUUCCCUUCUCCUUAACUAGGUUGGAAUCGGGGUAGAUUAUGCAUAUACUAGUCACCUACAAGAAGGCCUUACCAAUAAAAUAGUGAACUCAA